UCAUGAAAGCAACAUUUAACAACUAUCGCGAUGCUCGUCUGGCACUACCACGCCUGCAGUACACAUCAGAGUUGGAGAGCACUGGGGGAGGAAAGAGAAAGGUGACAAAGCCCACCAGAUAUGAACCUGAACACAACAGGCAGCCACCGCGCCCACCAAGCACAUUUCCUGGGCCAUCUGUGGCCAGCCAUGAAGAACCACGAAGUGAAGACAGCGAAGGUAACCAUUUGAGGUUUUUCGAUCACAUGUCACAUAAAUUUUUUGUUUUCU
Long non-coding RNA from Rhipicephalus sanguineus (brown dog tick), 270 nucleotides. RefSeq lists it as uncharacterized. Lineage: Eukaryota; Metazoa; Arthropoda; Arachnida; Ixodida; Ixodidae. The record is from RefSeq and is a predicted model, not a curated record. The transcript is spliced from 4 exons.